CCUACGGGAGGCUGCAGUGGGGAAUAUUGCACAAUGGGGGGAACACUGAUGCAGCGACGCCGCGUGGGUGAAGGAGUACUUCGGUACGUAAAGCCCUAUCAGCAGGAAAGAAAAUGACGGUACGUGACUAAGAAGCACUGGCUAACUACGUGCCAGCAGCCGUGGUAAUACGUAGGGGGCAAGCGUUAUCCGGAUUUACUGGGUGUAAAGGGAGCGUAGAGGGCAGUGCAAGUCCGGAGUGAAAGCCCGGGGGUCAACCCUGGGACUGCUCUGGAAACUGUAAGGCUGGAGUGCGGGAGGGGCAGGCGGAAUUCCUGGUGUAGCGGUGAAAUGCAUAGAUAUCAGGAAGAACACCGGCUGCGAAGGCAGCCUGCUGGACCGUAACUGACGUUGAGGCACGAAAGCGUGGGGAGCAAACAGGAUUAGAUACCCGAGUAGUC
RNAcentral lists this ribosomal RNA (440 nucleotides) under uncultured bacterium. Its description in RNAcentral is "partial 16S ribosomal RNA". It matches the Rfam family "Bacterial small subunit ribosomal RNA", at positions 338 to 795 of the family's 1533-position model. The record is from RNAcentral.